UAGGGAAUAUUGCACAAUGGGCGAAAGCCUGAUGCAGCAACGCCGCGUGCACGAUGAAGGCCUUCGGGUCGUAAAGUGCUUUUUGGGGAGAUGAGGAAGGACAGUAUCCCCAGAAUAAGGAUCGGCUAACUACGUG
RNAcentral lists this ribosomal RNA (136 nucleotides) under uncultured bacterium. RNAcentral describes it as "partial 16S rRNA". It matches the Rfam family "Bacterial small subunit ribosomal RNA", at positions 355 to 507 of the family's 1533-position model. The record is from RNAcentral.